CAGGCUUAACACAUGCAAGUCGAGGGGCAGCAUGGUCUUAGCUUGCUAAGGCCGAUGGCGACCGGCGCACAGGUGAGUAACACGUAUCCAACCUGCCGUCUACUCUUGGACAGCCUUCUGAAAGGAAGAUUAAUACAAGAUGGCAUCAUGAGUCCGCAUGUUCACAUGAUUAAAGGUAUUCCGGUAGACGAUGGGGAUGCGUUCCAUUAGAUAGUAGGCGGGGUAACGGCCCACCUAGUCUUCGAUGGAUAGGGGUUCUGAGAGGAAGGUCCCCCACAUUGGAACUGAGACACGGUCCAAACUCCUACGGGAGGCAGCAGUGAGGAAUAUUGGUCAAUGGGCGAGAGCCUGAACCAGCCAAGUAGCGUGAAGGAUGACUGCCCUAUGGGUUGUAAACUUCUUUUAUAAAGGAAUAAAGUCGGGUAUGCAUACCCGUUUGCAUGUACUUUAUGAAUAAGGAUCGGCUAACUCCGUGCCAGCAGCCGCGGUAAUACGGAGGAUCCGAGCGUUAUCCGGAUUUAUUGGGUUUAAAGGGAGCGUAGAUGGAUGUUUAAGUCAGUUGUGAAAGUUUGCGGCUCAACCGUAAAAUUGCAGUUGAUACUGGAUAUCUUGAGUGCAGUUGAGGCAGGCGGAAUUCGUGGUGUAGCGGUGAAAUGCUUAGAUAUCACGAAGAACUCCGAUUGCGAAGGCAGCCUGCUAAGCUGCAACUGACAUUGAGGCUCGAAAGUGUGGGUAUCAAACAGGAUUAGAUACCCUGGUAGUCCACACGGUAAACGAUGAAUACUCGCUGUUUGCGAUAUACGGCAAGCGGCCAAGCGAAAGCGUUAAGUAUUCCACCUGGGGAGUACGCCGGCAACGGUGAAACUCAAAGGAAUUGACGGGGGCCCGCACAAGCGGAGGAACAUGUGGUUUAAUUCGAUGAUACGCGAGGAACCUUACCCGGGCUUAAAUUGCAGAUGAAUUACGGUGAAAGCCGUAAGCCGCAAGGCAUCUGUGAAGGUGCUGCAUGGUUGUCGUCAGCUCGUGCCGUGAGGUGUCGGCUUAAGUGCCAUAACGAGCGCAACCCUUGUUGUCAGUUACUAACAGGUUCCGCUGAGGACUCUGACAAGACUGCCAUCGUAAGAUGUGAGGAAGGUGGGGAUGACGUCAAAUCAGCACGGCCCUUACGUCCGGGGCUACACACGUGUUACAAUGGGGGGUACAGAGGGCCGCUACCACGCGAGUGGAUGCCAAUCCCCAAAACCUCUCUCAGUUCGGACUGGAGUCUGCAACCCGACUCCACGAAGCUGGAUUCGCUAGUAAUCGCGCAUCAGCCACGGCGCGGUGAAUACGUUCCCGGGCCUUGUACACACCGCCCGUCAAGCCAUGGGAGCCGGGGGUACCUGAAGUGCGUAACCGCGAGGAGCGCCCUAGGGUAAAACUGGUGACUGGGGCUAAGU
This 1439-nucleotide ribosomal RNA is filed under the name uncultured organism. RNAcentral's name for it is "16S ribosomal RNA". It matches the Rfam family "Bacterial small subunit ribosomal RNA". The record is from RNAcentral.